GAGUUUGAUCCUGGCUCAGGAUGAACGCUGGCGGCGUGCCUAACACAUGCAAGUCGAGCGAAGCGCUAUACUUGAAUUCUUCGGAAGGAAAGUAUUGUGACUGAGCGGCGGACGGGUGAGUAACGCGUGGGUAACCUGCCUCAUACAGGGGGAUAACAGUUAGAAAUGACUGCUAAUACCGCAUAAGACCACAGCACCGCAUGGUGCGGGGGUAAAAACUCCGGUGGUAUGAGAUGGACCCGCGUCUGAUUAGCUAGUUGGUAAGGUAAGGGCUUACCAAGGCGACGAUCAGUAGCCGACCUGAGAGGGUGACCGGCCACAUUGGGACUGAGACACGGCCCAAACUCCUACGGGAGGCAGCAGUGGGGAAUAUUGCACAAUGGGGGAAACCCUGAUGCAGCGACGCCGCGUGAGUGAUGAAGUAUUUCGGUAUGUAAAGCUCUAUCAGCAGGGAAGAAAAUGACGGUACCUGACUAAGAAGC
This 482-nucleotide ribosomal RNA is filed under the name uncultured bacterium. Its description in RNAcentral is "bacterial SSU rRNA". It matches the Rfam family "Bacterial small subunit ribosomal RNA", at positions 9 to 491 of the family's 1533-position model. The record is from RNAcentral.